Molecule: transfer RNA, 74 nt
Filed under: Pseudomonadota bacterium
Lineage: Bacteria; Pseudomonadati; Pseudomonadota
Also listed under: 1 other name
Description: tRNA-Val
Rfam family: tRNA
About the family: Transfer RNA (tRNA) molecules are approximately 80 nucleotides in length. Their secondary structure includes four short double-helical elements and three loops (D, anti-codon, and T loops). Further hydrogen bonds mediate the characteristic L-shaped molecular structure. tRNAs have two regions of fundamental functional importance: the anti-codon, which is responsible for specific mRNA codon recognition, and the 3' end, to which the tRNAs corresponding amino acid is attached (by aminoacyl-tRNA synthetases). tRNAs cope with the degeneracy of the genetic code in two manners: having more than one tRNA (with a specific anti-codon) for a particular amino acid; and 'wobble' base-pairing, i.e. permitting non-standard base-pairing at the 3rd anti-codon position.
Source: RNAcentral
GGGCGAAUAGCUCAGCUGGCUAGAGCGCCUCGUUUACACCGAGGAGGUCGCGGGUUCAAGCCCUGCUUCGCCCA